ACAGACUUUGGGCUGUUCUGUUUCUUUUCUUCCCCUUUUACUUCCAAGUCUGUCCUCAACAUAAUUGCCAGAAAACAGUCCUGAUGAAGUUACAUGACUGCUUUAAAAUCCCUGGCUGCCAGUUUUUUGUUGUUUUUUUUUAUAGAGUUAAGUUUAGGCAUGACAACAUGUAAUUUCCUUUGUGAUGUGGAAGAUUGAGAUAUUUGAAAUGUAGUAAGUUUCUGUCCCUGAUGUUAUGGGUAUAAUAAAAAGGAAAAAAGACAUUAGAUAAGCAUUUGACUUGGGUCACUGACUAUGACAUGGUUGCUGUUUUUAAGGAUCCUCCUGUUUCCUUAGUGAAAUACACAUACAACAGAAGGACAUGUGCUUGAAUGUUCUAAUGUGUGCUGUCACAGUUUGGUGAACUCAAUGAUUCAUUUAUGUCAUAAUUGUUGAGGGAAGUCAUCACGGAACAAGUUGAGUAUGAGGUAGACAUGAGUAUAUUUAAGUGGUUGAAAAGGAAAAGUUCAGCUUGUGCAGAGACCAAGCAGGGAUGGGGAAUGGAAUGGUCUCGCUAAGUUGUCCAGGCGGGACUCGGAACUUGUGAUCCUCCUCCCUCAGCCUCCCUCCGUGCUGAGAUUACAGGUGUGCACCACUGCACCUGGCUACUGAAGGCUAAGGGAAAGGCAGACAGAAGGUACCAGGAAGAAUGAACCAUUAUCCCCAGAACAAUAGCCCAUUGUAGAAAAAGAGAAGAGGGAUUUUGGUGAGCGAUCUCAUCCUAUGUGGUGGUUUCUAGGAUACAAACCAAGUUUGGAAACGUGGUGGGACCAGUAACAAAUGGAGUUCUCUGAGCCUUUGCUGGAACAGUUUGUGCUCUUCCAAACAGUAUGUGUUGGCCAGACAGGAGAUAGUGCUUGGUCCUAAAUUAAAAGAAUGGUGCCAGUC
Molecule: non-coding RNA, 927 nt
Organism: Heterocephalus glaber (naked mole-rat)
Lineage: Eukaryota; Metazoa; Chordata; Mammalia; Rodentia; Bathyergidae
Source: RefSeq, a predicted model, not a curated record